This 497-nucleotide ribosomal RNA is filed under the name uncultured bacterium. RNAcentral describes it as "partial 16S ribosomal RNA". It matches the Rfam family "Bacterial small subunit ribosomal RNA", at positions 28 to 507 of the family's 1533-position model. The record is from RNAcentral.
GAUGAACGCUGGCGGCGUGCCUAAUACAUGCAAGUCGAGCGAACAGACGAGGAGCUUCCUCCUCGGACGUGAGCGGCGGACGGGUGAGUAACACGUGGAUAACCUACCUAUAAGACUGGCAGAACGUCGGGAAACCGGACCUCAUACCGGAUAAUAUAUUGAACCGCAUGGCUCAAUAGUGAAAGACGGUUUUGCUGUCACUUCUAGAUGGAUCCGCGCCGCAUUAGCAAGUUGGUAAGGUAACGGCUUACCAAGGCCACGAUGCGUAGCCGACCGGACAAGGUGAGCUGGCCCACUGGAGCUGGUGCACGGUCACGACUCCUACGAGAGGCGGCAGUAGGGACUCUUCGGCACAGGGGUAGAGCAUGACGGAGCAACGCGGCGUCAGUGAUGAAGGUCUUCGGUUCGUAAGAAUCUGUUAUUAGGAAUGAACAAAGGUGUAAGUAGCUAAGCACGUAUUGACGGUACCUGAUCAGGAAGCCACGGCUAACUACGUG